AGCCCGCUCCCGGUAAAACGGGACGGCCCGCCAGAGGACCCCUAAACUCUGUUUCUAUAUGUAACUUCUGAGUAAAACCAUAAAUAAAUCAAAACUUUCAACAACGGAUCUCUUGGUUCUGGCAUCGAUGAAGAACGCAGCAAAAUGCGAUAAGUAAUGUGAAUUGCAGAAUUCAGUGAAUCAUCGAAUCUUUGAACGCACAUUGCGCCCGCCAGUAUUCUGGCGGGCAUGCCUGUUCGAGCGUCAUUUCAACCCUCAAGCACAGCUUGGUGUUGGGACUCGCGUUAAUUCGCGUUCCUUAAAUUGAUUGGCGGUCACGUCGAGCUUCCAUAGCGUAGUAGUAAAACCCUCGUUACUGGUAAUCGUCGCGGCCACGCCGUUAAACCCCAACUUCUGAAUGUUGACCUCGGAUCAGGUAGGAAUACCCGCUGAACUUAAGCAUAUC
RNAcentral lists this ribosomal RNA (445 nucleotides) under Fusarium oxysporum. RNAcentral describes it as "eukaryotic LSU rRNA". The stretch from base 93 to 246 matches the Rfam family "5.8S ribosomal RNA". Lineage: Eukaryota; Fungi; Ascomycota; Sordariomycetes; Hypocreales; Nectriaceae. The record is from RNAcentral.